AGCCUUUUUUUUUUUUUUGCCAAACAUCUUUCCUAAUCAAUAUGCUCCACUGGACCAAAAGGUCUUUCCAUAGUUUUGUAGAUAUUGUUGUAAGUGCAAGAGAUGAGUCAAGUAAGUGUUUUUCUGGGAAUAGUUAGGGUCCCCAAACAAAAAAGGCUGUAAAGUGCGGAGCCCCGCAAUCCCUCGGCUACUUGUGCUACUGUGCAAAACUGGAAACCCAAUAUGGCUGCACAUUAAUGCAGUUUGUUUGCUUUUAGUUUAGCAUGUUCUGUGCACCCAACCACUGAGGUAACAGUUGGAAACUUAUCAGAGAGGGAUCCAACUUGGAACUUAGGAGAAAUUUCCUGAGAAAAACUAAUCAGUCGAAUGACUUCCCUUCAGAGGUUGUAAGUGCUUCAUAACUUCACCACUCCUCUCUUUUAAGAAGUGAUUGGAUAGCCAUUUGUCCAGAGUGAUAAAACGCCUUCUGCUUGAGCAGGGUGUUAGGCUUGAAGACCUCCAAUGACCCCAUUCAUUAUUAUUGGCAGAAGGUUGAUAGCAACUUUUCAGACUAGCCUACUUUAUUAGAAAACAGAUAAUUUAAGUUUGUUCCUUUGCCCUUUAACCAGAUUCUUUCUGUUUUGAGGCUAACACACAGACUAACACACUUCUCCAACAAUCUCAGAAGGGGUGUUGAUCUAUGCAGCACAGACUGGGAAGUCUUCAAACACUUGCCACAAGAAUGUGCCCUUAACAUAAUCUAGACAUCACUGGUUGUCAGAGAUGAACUAAAUCUAAAAGAGAACAAUUAACAGGUAGUUCAUUAGUUAUCAAGUCACAAAUAUUCCAUAUGCUUUGAAUAUUAUAGACUCAGUUUAAUAUGCAUAAUUCCCUUUCAUCCGCUCAACUGGUAUUCAAUCUGAAAAUGUACAUUAGCCAAAAGAAAGAACCCUGGAAAUAAGGAGGAAUUUCCCGAGAGUGAGAACUGUUAGGCAGUGGAACAAUUUGCCUUGUGGAAUUGUGUGUGCUCCAUUGUGGAAAUUUUCAAGAAAAGAUUGGGCAAUCAUUUAUCUGAGCAGGAGGUUGGACUAGGAGUUCCUUCCAUCCUAGGAUUCUAUAAUUCCCUCUGUGCUUUGUGCUACAAUUAUUGUGCUUCUCUGUUAUUCAUGAACAGACAGCUUCCCACAGGAAAGGCAGGCCAAAGGCCACCAAGAGAGACAGCUACCAGGCUGUUGAGCCACUCCUAGUCCAAAGUGAGAUGCCCUCUUUCUGAAGGUCCAAAAUGUGGCCAUUGUUUCCCUGGUUGCCGAGGGAAUGAGGCUGUGAGUUUGCCUGAAAAGCCACCAGCUAAUCCACAGCUGCCCAUUCUUGCUUCGUGCAGUGAAAUAACAACACCUAGCUUGGUUAUGGCAGCACAAAGGCUUUUGAGAGUAAGUGUGGCCAUCUCAAAUCACAAGAAACUGGUAGUAGGGGAGAAAGUCAUACUUCCCAAUUCUUCUGACUCAUAUCUAUUUCUCUUCUCUUCACAGAACAUCUGGAAAAUUCUCAGGUGUUCAUUCCUUUUCUGUUGUAUGAACACCAAUAUAGAAGACCUUCCUGUGCCACCUGACAGAUACUACGACCUUCUCCUUAAACCCUGAGCAUGGUGGGGCACCAUUGUUGGACUGCAAUCUGUAAAAGUCUUUCCCCAAGAUUGCUUCCUAUCCAUAAGAGCCUUGCAGGGGCAAAAAGAUGGGCAAACUGACUGGCUGGUCUUAGAAAGGAGAGGCUGGGCUACAUGAAUGUUGUUUGACAUGUCACCUUCUUCUUUUGGUCAGGACUGAUGAGAUACAGGAAUGGGAUGAGCAGCAGAGCCACUCUUAUCACGGAAAGACAUCUUCAUUCCCAGAGAUUCAUUGUCGUGCUGUUGGUCCGUAUGUGAAGAAAUCUCUCCUGGGAAACCUGGCCAGCCUGGCAAUCUUAAGAAGAUGAGCCUUCUGGAUUUCUGGAAAGACCUUUACAGCUUGCAGUGGAAGGGACUGAAGACCGUUCAGCCUCAGAAGCCACUACAGCCUGCUCCAGGCGUUCCUCUGACUCAUCGAAAAUGAUGGACAUGAUGGAGUCCACCUCCUCCAGGCUGCUGGUCCUGGACCCCACCAGUGUUUCCAUCGAAUCCUGCAAAUGACAGUAUUGAGGCUCAAUCCAAAGCUCUCUGCAUCCCAAUAAGAUGGCUGAAGCAGAGGGUGCAUUGGCCCCAUUGCCAAACUUUUCUUACCACUGAGGAGGGGGUUACAUGCUCUUCUUCCACCACCAUCUCGGUCCUGUUCAGAGGAAGAAGGUGAAAUGUUUGACAUCAGGUUAGUUUCUUCUUUCCAAGAUGGGCAACUUAGCCCGUCCAUCUUUUUCUACCCGGCAAGCUCCUACUGAACAAGCAGACGUCUUCACCCUCUGACAUGCUACCUACCUUGGAAGACAGGGACUCCCUCUCGGGCCAUCACCCUUUUCCCAGUGUUUAGCAGAACCAGAGGUAGAGGGUAGAGAUAAAUCAAAGUUCUCUCCAUGUGAUAGGAGAUUGUCUGUUUUCCCAGGAGAGGGGGGCUACAUUGCAGAGGGUAAAAAGACCGCAGAACGUGGAAUAUUUGGCCAAUAGGAAGAGGCUCAAAAUGGCUGUUCUUUAGUAUUUCCCAGUAUUUUCCCUUCCAAGCCAUCAAAAUUAUUCCACAAAUCCAAGAGAUUCUUUUUGCGUUUGCUAGGCUGGCUAGGUUCCCCCAAGUGAGAAUUACUACCUUCCCCCACCCGGUUUUGAGGCAUUAACACCCCCCCCCCAACAUUUGGCAAAGCCAUCCUUACCCCUGGAAAUGGAGAGCUUCUUUCAGGACAAGAGGGGCUCCACAGCUCACCACCUUCCUGUGCCUCCUCAAUCCUGAUCAAAGGAAGAAGGUGACAUGUCAAAAAACAUCCAUCAAGCUCAGCCUCUCUUUUCUAAGACCAGCAAUCAGCCUGCCCAUCGUUUUGCUCCUGCAAGCCUCUUGUGGACAGGAAGCCAUCUUAGGAAGAGGCUCUUACAGACUCUGCAGUCCAUCAAGGGUGCCCCACCACGCCCAGGGUAUAAGGAGAAAUCAUGGUACCUGUCAGAAGGCACAGGAAGACAGCAGCAAAAGAUCUUUCUCAGAUGUUUGCAGAUAUUCUGUGAAGAGAAGAGAAAAUAGAUGUGAGCCAAUCAGAAGACAUGGGAACCAUGAUUUUCUCCCCUACUGACAGUUUCUUGGCAUCUGAGAUGGCCACACUUACUC
This is a long non-coding RNA of Crotalus tigris (Tiger rattlesnake), 3251 nucleotides long. RefSeq lists it as uncharacterized. The transcript is spliced from 3 exons. The record is from RefSeq and is a predicted model, not a curated record. Lineage: Eukaryota; Metazoa; Chordata; Lepidosauria; Squamata; Viperidae.